GAUGAACGCUGGCGGCGUGCCUAAUACAUGCAAGUCGAGCGAACGGACGAGAAGCUUGCUUCUCUGAUGUUAGCGGCGGACGGGUGAGUAACACGUGGAUAACCUACCUAUAAGACUGGGAUAACUUCGGGAAACCGGAGCUAAUACCGGAUAAUAUUUUGAACCGCAUGGUUCAAAAGUGAAAGACGGUCUUGCUGCCACUUAUAGAUGGAUCCGCGCUGCAUUAGCUAGUUGGUAAGGUAACGGCUUACCAAGGCAACGAUGCAUAGGCGACCUGAGAGGGUGAUCGGCCACACUGGAACUGAGACACGGUCCAGACUCCUACGGGAGGCAGCAGUAGGGAAUCUUCCGCAAUGGGCGAAAGCCUGACGGAGCAACGCCGCGUGAGUGAUGAAGGUCUUCGGAUCGUAAAACUCUGUUAUUAGGGAAGAACAUAUGUGUAAGUAACUGUGCACAUCUUGACGGUACCUAAUCAGAAAGCCACGGCUAACUACGUG
This 497-nucleotide ribosomal RNA is filed under the name uncultured bacterium. RNAcentral describes it as "partial 16S ribosomal RNA". It matches the Rfam family "Bacterial small subunit ribosomal RNA", at positions 28 to 507 of the family's 1533-position model. The record is from RNAcentral.